AAAAAAAAAACACGUGAGUAACCUGCCCUUGACUUUGGGAUAACUUCAGGAAACUGGGGCUAAUACCGGAUAGGAGCUCCUGCUGCAUGGUGGGGUUUGGAAAGUUUCGGCGGUUGGGGAUGGACUCGCGGCUUAUCAGCUUGUUGGUGGGGUAGUGGCUUACCAAGGCUUUGACGGGUAGCCGGCCUGAUGGGGUGACCGGACACAUUGGGAAUGAGAUACGGCCAAGACUCAUACGGGAGGCAGCAGUGGGGCAUAUUGCACAAUGGGCGGAAGCCGGAUGCAUCAACGCUUUUUUUUUUAAAUCAUC
This 310-nucleotide ribosomal RNA is filed under the name uncultured bacterium. Its description in RNAcentral is "partial 16S ribosomal RNA". It matches the Rfam family "Bacterial small subunit ribosomal RNA", at positions 100 to 397 of the family's 1533-position model. The record is from RNAcentral.